CAAAAACAUGAGUACCCAAGAGAUCAGCACCUGUUGUAAUAGAUAAAAACUCCUCUAGUAUUCACACACUUUCCUAAAAGAAAGUCAUAGUGACGGAAUCAUUCAUUUCCCAUUUCACUUAUUCGUUCCUCACACCAACUGCGAUUUUUUACAUCAUGUAAUUACUGGACAAGAUAAAUCGAAGAGGUAUGUUUGAAGAGAAUGAUUUGCACAGAUACUUGGUGUCAGCGGAAAAUGCAGUUCAGUCACCAAAUCAAUGAAAUUUAGUUUCUAUCAUGGUUCAAAUAGUGCCCAUUCAAAUUUACCAGCCCCAAAAAAAUUGCUUUAAGGCAGUAAGAGCUAAAAUAACAAGCAUAUUACAAGAAAACUAAUAGAAAGG
RNAcentral lists this unclassified non-coding RNA (379 nucleotides) under Hevea brasiliensis (rubber tree). Lineage: Eukaryota; Viridiplantae; Streptophyta; Magnoliopsida; Malpighiales; Euphorbiaceae. The record is from RNAcentral.